GGGCGGUUAGCUCAGUUGGCAGAGCGUCUGUCUUACACACAGAAGGUCACUGGUUCGAGCCCGGUACCGCCCACCA
RNAcentral lists this transfer RNA (76 nucleotides) under Acidobacteriota bacterium. RNAcentral's name for it is "Acidobacteria bacterium tRNA-Val". It matches the Rfam family "tRNA". Rfam says of the family: Transfer RNA (tRNA) molecules are approximately 80 nucleotides in length. Their secondary structure includes four short double-helical elements and three loops (D, anti-codon, and T loops). Lineage: Bacteria; Pseudomonadati; Acidobacteriota. The record is from RNAcentral.